UAGCUAAUACCGCAUAAUGUCGCAAGACCAAAGAGGGGGACCUUCGGGCCUCUUGCCAUCGGAUGUGCCCAGAUGGGAUUAGCUUGUUGGUGGGGUAACGGCUCACCAAGGCGACGAUCCCUAGCUGGUCUGAGAGGAUGACCAGCCACACUGGAACUGAGACACGGUCCAGACUCCUACGGGAGGCAGCAGUGGGGAAUAUUGCACAAUGGGCGCAAGCCUGAUGCAGCCAUGCCGCGUGUAUGAAGAAGGCCUUCGGGUUGUAAAGUACUUUCAGCGGGGAGGAAGGGAGUAAAGUUAAUACCUUUGCUCAUUGACGUUACCCGCAGAAGAAGCACCGGCUAACUCCGUGCCAGCAGCCGCGGUAAUACGGAGGGUGCAAGCGUUAAUCGGAAUUACUGGGCGUAAAGCGCACGCAGGCGGUUUGUUAAGUCAGAUGUGAAUCCCCGGGCUCAACCUGGGAACUGCAUCUGAUACUGGCAAGCUUGAGUCUCGUAGAGGGGGGUAGAAUUCCAGGUGUAGCGGUGAAAUGCGUAGAGAUCUGGAGGAAUACC
This 554-nucleotide ribosomal RNA is filed under the name uncultured Pseudomonadota bacterium. RNAcentral's name for it is "bacterial SSU rRNA". It matches the Rfam family "Bacterial small subunit ribosomal RNA", at positions 160 to 710 of the family's 1533-position model. Lineage: Bacteria; Pseudomonadati; Pseudomonadota. The record is from RNAcentral.